RNAcentral lists this transfer RNA (82 nucleotides) under Candidatus Woesebacteria bacterium. RNAcentral describes it as "tRNA-Leu". It matches the Rfam family "tRNA". Rfam says of the family: Transfer RNA (tRNA) molecules are approximately 80 nucleotides in length. Their secondary structure includes four short double-helical elements and three loops (D, anti-codon, and T loops). Further hydrogen bonds mediate the characteristic L-shaped molecular structure. tRNAs have two regions of fundamental functional importance: the anti-codon, which is responsible for specific mRNA codon recognition, and the 3' end, to which the tRNAs corresponding amino acid is attached (by aminoacyl-tRNA synthetases). tRNAs cope with the degeneracy of the genetic code in two manners: having more than one tRNA (with a specific anti-codon) for a particular amino acid; and 'wobble' base-pairing, i.e. permitting non-standard base-pairing at the 3rd anti-codon position. The record is from RNAcentral. Lineage: Bacteria; Candidatus Woeseibacteriota.
GCCGGGGUGGCGGAAUUGGUAGACGCGUACGCUUGAGGGGCGUAUGAGGCAACUCGUGGAGGUUCAAGUCCUCUCCUCGGCA